CCUGCGACAGGUGGAGCGCACGGGGCGGGCGCACGGCCAUGUCCGCCGAGGGCGCGGAGCCGGGGCCGGGGUCCGGGCCCGGGCCGGGACCACUCUGCCCCGAACACGGCCAGGCUCUGAGCUGGUUCUGCGGCUCCGAGCGACGGCCCGUGUGCGCCGCCUGCGCGGGGCUGGGCGGUCGCUGCCGGGGGCACCGCAUCCGCCGGGCGGAGGAGCGCGCCGAGGAGCUGCGGAACAAGAUUGUGGACCAGUGUGAGAGGCUGCAGUUACAGAGUGCUGCCAUCACCAAGUAUGUGGCGGACGUCCUGCCGGGGAAGAAUCAAAGAGCAGUGAGCAUGGCCAGUGCAGCGAGGGAACUGGUUAUCCAGCGGUUGAGUCUGGUGAGGAGUCUUUGCGAGAGCGAGGAGCAGCGGUUACUGGAACAGGUGCAUGGCGAAGAGGAGCGGGCCCACCAGAGCAUCCUGACACAGCGGGUGCACUGGGCCGAGGCGCUGCAGAAGCUUGACACCAUCCGCACCGGCCUGGUGGGCAUGCUUACCCACCUGGAUGACCUCCAGCUGAUUCAGAAGGAGCAAGAGAUUUUUGAGAGGCACAGAGGACAUACGGAUCGAUGAGAGGACAGUCAGCCCCUUCCUGCAAUUGUCAGAUGAUCGAAAGACCCUGACCUUCAGCACCAAGAAGUCAAAGGCCUGUGCAGAUGGCCCGGAGCGCUUCGACCACUGGCCCAAUGCCCUGGCUGCCACCUCCUUCCAGAAUGGGCUCCAUGCCUGGAUGGUGAAUGUCCAGAAGAGUUGUGCCUAUAAGGUGGGCGUGGCCUCAGGCCACCUGCCCCGCAAGGGUUCUGGCAGUGACUGCCGUCUGGGCCACAAUGCCUUCUCUUGGGUCUUCUCUCGCUAUGAUCAGGAGUUUCGUUUCUCACACAAUGGGCAGCACGAGCCCCUGGGGCUGCUGCGGGGCCCAGCCCAGCUGGGUGUAGUGCUGGACUUGCAGGCUCGGGAGCUGCUCUUCUAUGAGCCAGCCUCUGGCACAGUGCUCUAUACCCAUCAUGGGUCCUUCCCGGGGCCCCUCUUCCCAGUCUUUGCUGUGGCCGAUCAGACCAUUUCUAUUGUCCGCUGACCUCUGGCCACAGGAUGCCAGGUCCACCGCCCACCACCCUUUCAGGCCAUGUUUCUAUUCGGUGUCCUUUUCCCAAAUGAUGUGUGUGGUGUUUCUAAGAGAAACAGGGCCCAUAACCAGUGGGCAGCUUUAGGAGGGAUGGGGAUCUGUUUCAGAUCUAGGCGCAACCUGUAAAUCACAGGUGUCCAAACUUUUGGCUUCCCUGGGCCACAUUUGAAGAAGAAUUUUCUUGGGCCACAUAAAAUACACUAACGAUAGCUGAUGAGCUAAAAAAAAAAAAAAAAAAAAAAAGUCUGUGUAUAAUUUUUGUGAUAUCUGCCACCACAGAUAAGCAAAAAAGUCCUUGCAUUCAAAGGGUUGGAGAUUGCUGCUUUGAGUGCUGGGUACCUGUGAGGAACUGACUACUCCCUGGGCCUUAGUCUCCCAAAUCCACCAUGCAUCUGCCCCUCUGAGGGUGUCUUCACUUUGUCUCUGGCAUCUAGCAUGGUGCCUGGUGCAUAGUGAGCAUGCAAUAAACAUUUAGCAGGUGAGUGGAUGGAUAGAUGGAUAGGUGAAUGUAGGUGGACAGGUGACUGGGUGGAUGUUGUGGUCUCUGGAGAAGCACUGCCAUUCAGCCUCCUGCUCCAGAUUUUCACAUACAGAAGUGCUCUCUUCACAGGCAGAGAAGCCUGUGGCUAAAGUUUCCGCAUCCCAUUAAUUCAGUGCUUCUUUUUCAUGACAUGGCACAUAGAGAAAAUAUUUUUUCUAGCACACAAGAGCAACCUGAAAGGCUGCUCCUGGCCAGAGGACUCUGUCCUGGGGGACCGUGUCCUCCCCCAUGUCCUGCUUAGGCCCUCAGAGGACCAGGGGACCAUGUCUCCAGGUAACCCGACUGUAGCCCCUGCCGGCUGAGCUCCAGCCUGUGCCCACCGGUAAUAGCAGGGACAGCCUUUUCCCUUAGAGCAGCUGAUAAGUUUCCCUACCUGAUAAGUUUAUGCCCCCUCUGACAUAAACUGCACACCUGGGGUGAUGGCUUAAAGCCAGAAAGAGCUGAGGGAGUAAGAGGGCCAACCUUAGGGCACGUGGGCAUUAUUAAAGGUCUUAAAAGCAUUAAAGAUUUA
This 2216-nucleotide small RNA is filed under the name Pongo abelii (Sumatran orangutan). RNAcentral describes it as "processed transcript". The record is from RNAcentral. Lineage: Eukaryota; Metazoa; Chordata; Mammalia; Primates; Hominidae.